CUACGGGCGGCAGCAGUCGGGAAUAUUGCGCAAUGGAGGAAACUCUGACGCAGUGACGCCGCGUAUAGGAAGAAGGUUUUCGGAUUGUAAACUAUUGUCGUUAGGGAAGAUAAAAGACAGUACCUAAGGAGGAAGCUCCGGCUAACUACGUGCCAGCAGCCGCGGUAAUACGUAGGGAGCAAGCGUUUUCCGGAUUUAUUGGGUGUAAAGGGUGCGUAGACGGGAAGACAAGUUAGUUGUGAAAUCCCUCGGCUUAACUGAGGAACUGCAACUAAAACUAUUUUUCUUGAGUGUUGGAGAGGAAAGUGGAAUUCCUAGUGUAGCGGUGAAAUGCGUAGAUAUUAGGAGGAACACCGGUGGCGAAGGCGACUUUCUGGACAAUAACUGACGUUGAGGCACGAAAGUGUGGGGAGCAAACAGGAUUAGAUACCCUCGUAGUC
RNAcentral lists this ribosomal RNA (440 nucleotides) under uncultured bacterium. Its description in RNAcentral is "partial 16S ribosomal RNA". It matches the Rfam family "Bacterial small subunit ribosomal RNA", at positions 339 to 795 of the family's 1533-position model. The record is from RNAcentral.